AUGACUUUCAUCACCAUCCUCAUCUGGACACUGACCUGCUGCUGUUUUAAAGAGUCCAGAGGUCAGGUGACCGUGACUCAGACUCCUGCAGUGAAAUCUGCUCUUCCAGGAGACUCUGUUACUGUCAGAUGUAAGACCAACACAGCCGUUGACACCUGUAGCAGUUCUCACGACUGUUUGUCCUGGUACCAACAGAAACCUGGAGAGGCUCCUAAACUUCUGAUUUAUGUUGCAAGCACCCGUGAGUCUGGAGUUCCAGAUCGUUUCCGUGGCAGUGGAUCUGGGACUGACUUCACUCUGACCAUCAGUAACAUCCAGACUGAAGAUGCAGGAGAUUAUUACUGUCACAGUUACCACUGGAUCAAUAGCCAACAUGUGUUCACACAUUGUGGAGGAAUCAAACUGGAUGUUGGCAGUGACACCCAGCCCACCCUCACGGUCCUGCCCCCCUCCAGCGUGGAGCUGCAGCAGGGGAAAGCCACACUCAUGUGUCUGGCCAACAAGGGCUUCCCCUCAGACUGGAAGCUGAACUGGAAGGUGGAUGGUAAGAGUUGGAGUUCAGGGGUGAGCUCCAGCCCUGGGGUUUUACAGAAGGACGGUCUCUACAGCUGGAGCAGCACCCUCACCCUCCAGGAGGAGCAGUGGAGUAAGAUGUCAGUGACCUGUGAGGCCACACAGGGCUCCCAGUCUGCAGUGACCCAGACACUGAGGAAAGACCAGUGUUCUGAGUAGUGAGAACACACACACACA
This is a non-coding RNA of Chanos chanos (milkfish), 750 nucleotides long. The record is from the annotation of a RefSeq genome assembly. Lineage: Eukaryota; Metazoa; Chordata; Actinopteri; Gonorynchiformes; Chanidae.